AGAGUUUGAUCCUGGCUCAGAUUGAACGCUGGCGGCAUGCCUUACACAUGCAAGUCGAACGGCAGCACGGGAGCAAUCCUGGUGGCGAGUGGCGAACGGGUGAGUAAUAUAUCGGAACGUGCCCAGUAGUGGGGGAUAGCCCGGCGAAAGCCGGAUUAAUACCGCAUGAGACCUGAGGGUGAAAGCGGGGGAUCGCAAGACCUCGCGCUACUGGAGCGGCCGAUAUCAGAUUAGCUAGUUGGUGGGGUAAAGGCCUACCAAGGCAACGAUCUGUAGUUGGUCUGAGAGGACGACCAGCCACACUGGGACUGAGACACGGCCCAGACUCCUACGGGAGGCAGCAGUGGGGAAUUUUGGACA
RNAcentral lists this ribosomal RNA (360 nucleotides) under uncultured bacterium. RNAcentral describes it as "bacterial SSU rRNA". It matches the Rfam family "Bacterial small subunit ribosomal RNA", at positions 8 to 370 of the family's 1533-position model. The record is from RNAcentral.